AGAGUUUGAUCCUGGCUCAGGACGAACGCUGGCGGCGUGCUUAACACAUGCAAGUCACGGGGGUGCCGGGGGCGACCCUGGCACAACCGGCGAACGGGUGCGUAACACGUGAGCGACCUGCCGCGCCCUGGGGGAUAGCCGGCCCAACGGCCGGGUAAUACCGCAUACGCUCGCCCCGGGGCAUCCCGGGGCUGAGGAAACCUCCGGGGGGGCGCGAGGGGCUCGCGGCCUAUCAGCUCGUUGGCGGGGUGACGGCCCACCAAGGCGACGACGGGUAGCUGGCCUGAGAGGGUGGCCAGCCACAUUGGGACUGAGAGACGGCCCAGACUCCUACGGGAGGCAGCAGUGGGGAAUCUUGCGCAAUGGUCGAACGACUGACGCAGCGACGCCGCGUGCGGGAGGACGCCCCUCGGGGUGUAAACCGCUGUUGCCCGGGACGAACAGUCCCUUUCGAGGGGCCUGACGGUACCGGGUGAGGAAGCGCCGGCUAACUCCGUGCCAGCAGCCGCGGUAAUACGGAGGGCGCGAGCGUUGUCCGGAAUCACUGGGCGUAAAGGGCGCGUAGGCGGCGGGUCAAGCGUGCGGUGAAAGCCCGGGGCUCAACCCCGGGUCGGCCGUGCGGACUGGCCCGCUGGAGCACUGUAGGGGCGGGCGGAAUUCCGGGUGUAGCGGUGGAAUGCGUAGAGAUCCGGAAGAACACCGGUGGCGAAGGCGGCCCGCUGGGCAGUGGCUGACGCUGAGGCGCGACAGCGUGGGGAGCAAACAGGAUUAGAUACCCUAGUAGUCC
This 787-nucleotide ribosomal RNA is filed under the name uncultured Gemmatimonas sp. RNAcentral describes it as "bacterial SSU rRNA". It matches the Rfam family "Bacterial small subunit ribosomal RNA", at positions 8 to 796 of the family's 1533-position model. The record is from RNAcentral. Lineage: Bacteria; Pseudomonadati; Gemmatimonadota; Gemmatimonadia; Gemmatimonadales; Gemmatimonadaceae.